CUUUCUUUCUUUCUUUUUCUUUUCUUUUCUUUUUUUUUUUUUUUAAGGGCCGCAUCUAUGGUAUAUGAAAGUUCCAAGGCUAAGGGUUGAAUUGGAACUGCAGCUCCUACCCUAUACCACAGCAAUGCAGGGUCUGAGCCUCGUCUGGGACCUAUAUAACAGCUAAUGGCAAUACAGGAUCCUUAACCUACUGAGUAAGGUCAGGGACCAAAUCCACAUCCUCGUGAAUUCUAGUCGGGUUCUUUCCUACUGAGUCACAAUAGCAACUUCUGGUUGAAAUUUUCUAAUGGAAGAAAAUAAGUCUAUUAACCUAGAAUGCUCCAGAAUCUAAGUUUAGAGUUAAGUUUUAGAAGUUGUUGGGAGUUCCUGUCGUGGCUCAGCGGAAACAAAUCUGAUUAGGAACCAUGAGGUUGUGGGUUUGAUCCCUGGCCUCGCUCAGUGGGUUAAGGAUCUGGCAUUGCUGUGAGCUGUGGUGUAAGUCGCAGAUGCGGUUCGGAUCUGACAUCGCUGUGGCUCUGGCGUAGGCUGGCAGCUAUAGCUCUGUUUAGACCCCUAGCCUGGGAACCUCCAUCCACCGAGCAAGGCCAGGGAUGGAACCCGAAAUCUCAUGGUUCCUAGUAGGAUUCGUUUCCGCUGCGCCAGGACGGGGAACUCCGUACUUUCUAUCCUUAUUCUCAGAUUUCUAGGGAAGAUCUAUGCCUUGGAUUGGUAAAUUAAUUAAAGCAAUGGAGCCACAAAUGCGGAAUUUAUAAUAUCUCACUUACACACGUCACCGAAUCUCACUUAGAAUCUAAAGAAAUCGGAGAUCGGACUCUUUGUCCGACAGAGGGGAAGACUGAGGCCGAAAGAAGGUAAGUGAGCAGUCCAGGCUCACAGAACCAAGGGGUAACAAGAAUCCAGACUCCACCACAUGGAGCCAAGGGUUGCAAACGGGUGGGAUAGCUAAGAAUGGGGAAAGAAUUGGGAGGGAGACUCUUUUCAACUAUAGGAGGCCGGGGGAUUGGAGAACCUGACAAGCACUGAAGAUGCAGCCCAAGGCCACCCUCUGGAGCCCGCUCAGCCCACGGGAAGAUCCCCGCGAGCCCCAGCUCGGUUGCUCCCGCUCUCGCGAUACUGGCCGGCCUCUGCU
RNAcentral lists this long non-coding RNA (1129 nucleotides) under Sus scrofa (pig). RNAcentral's name for it is "lncRNA (ENSSSCG00035010220.1)". The record is from RNAcentral. Lineage: Eukaryota; Metazoa; Chordata; Mammalia; Artiodactyla; Suidae.